UGGGGAAUCUUGCGCAAUGGGGGAAACCCUGACGCAGCAACGCCGCGUGAGUGAGGAAGGCCCUCGGGUUGUAAAGCUCUGUCAGAUAGGAAGAAUAGCACGUUCCCGAAUAGGUUGCGUGUUUGACGGUACUAUCAAAGGAAGCACCGGCUAACUUCGUGCCAGCAGCCGCGGUAAUACGAAGGGUGCAAGCGUUACUCGGAAUUACUGGGCGUAAAGCGCGCGCAGGCGGAUUGGUAAGUCAGAUGUGAAAUGUCGGGGCUCAACCUCGAAAUUGCGUCUGAAACUAUUAAUCUAGAAUCUUGGAGAGGGAGGCGGAAUUUCGCAUGUAGGGGUAAAAUCCGUAGAGAUGCGAAGGAACACCAGAGGCGAAGGCGGCCUCCUGGACAAGAAUUGACGCUGAGGCGCGAAAGCGUGGGGAGCAAACA
RNAcentral lists this ribosomal RNA (428 nucleotides) under uncultured bacterium. RNAcentral's name for it is "bacterial SSU rRNA". It matches the Rfam family "Bacterial small subunit ribosomal RNA", at positions 355 to 774 of the family's 1533-position model. The record is from RNAcentral.